RNAcentral lists this ribosomal RNA (22 nucleotides) under Neostethus bicornis. RNAcentral's name for it is "partial 12S small subunit ribosomal RNA". The record is from RNAcentral. Lineage: Eukaryota; Metazoa; Chordata; Actinopteri; Atheriniformes; Phallostethidae.
GGAAGGUGCACUUGGAAAAAAC